GAUGAAGAACGCAGCGAAAUGCGAUACUUGGUGUGAGUUGCAGAAUCCCGUGAACCAUCGAGUCUUUGAACGCAAGUUGCGCCUCAAGCCAUUAGGUUGAGGGCACGUCUGCCUGGGCGUCACAUAUCGUUGCCUGAUGCCAGUUUCCUCGUGAUGGGUGACUGUGCAGGGCGAAUGAUGGCUUCCCGUGAGCAUUGUUGCCUCAUGGUUGGUUGAAAAUUGAGUCCUUGGUAGGGAGCGCCGUGAUAGAUGGUGGUUGAGUGACGAACGAGACCCAAUCAUGUGAGACCCCUACCGAAUUUGGCCUUCAUGACCCACAUGCGUCUUUGGAACGCUCAUGACGAGACCUCAGGUCAGGCGGGGCUACCCGCUGAGUUUAAGCAUAUCAAUAAGCGGAGGA
This 400-nucleotide unclassified non-coding RNA is filed under the name soil metagenome. Its description in RNAcentral is "partial contains 5.8S ribosomal RNA, internal transcribed spacer 2, and large subunit ribosomal RNA". The stretch from base 1 to 122 matches the Rfam family "5.8S ribosomal RNA", at positions 35 to 154 of the family's 154-position model. The record is from RNAcentral.